Long non-coding RNA from Melospiza melodia melodia, 1768 nucleotides. RefSeq lists it as uncharacterized. The transcript has 4 exons. The record is from RefSeq and is a predicted model, not a curated record. Lineage: Eukaryota; Metazoa; Chordata; Aves; Passeriformes; Passerellidae.
CAAAGGAAAGCACGCGCACACGCUCCUGAGAAAGCAGCCUGCACGGAGGAAUUACUGAUUGCAACAGGAAUGGAAUUUCUCCCUUGCUGCCUUGUUCGGAUCGUCAGACCUCCCACUCUCUGGAUGUCAGAAACUGCAAGUUAAGUUCAUUCUGGACCUCUCAGCCUUCUAGACCCAUGCCAUUGUAGUGAGGUAACAACAGCUUGACAUGAGCCUUCUGAAAAUCAUGCUGGAACAACAUCCCUCAUCUCAGCCUUGCUGUUCACAGGUGAUGGUCCUGAGCAAGCUGGGUGUUGCAGCACCAGAACACUGUGUCCUGGUGACUGUAAACCUGAGAGGCUCAUGGGCUCACCAGUGUAUGACAGACAGAACCACAGAGCUGUGAAAUAGAUACAGCAAGUGAACAGGUACUCUCUUCAGAGCCUGCAGAAUUCUGCUGUGAUGGUCCUAGAGAGAGCACAAAGCCCAACAGCUUGAUUUGCAAAAGGAGCUGUAAUUAUUUUUCUAGUUUAAUAGACACUGCUUUAUCUGUGUUCUAGUUCCUAAAUAUCGCUGGAAUCCAAAUGUUUUUCUUUAGCACAAUUAAGGCAAUCAAAAGUAUUUAUUUAAAGCACUUAAUCACUUAAAGAAACAAGUGGAAUACUACUAAAAUAGAGAAUAAUUUUACAGUGAAGUUUGAUAUCUCUGUAAACAUUUUAGAUGUAAUUUUCUUCUGACUCAUUUUUGAGUCCACUGAGGAUCCAAAUAUCAAGUUUACUCUCAAUUUCCACCUGGGAAGCAAGUACUGUGAAUUGGGCUACAAGUGAAGAACUGAUUGCUUUAUGUAAUUUAAUUUAUACCAUUCUAACAUAUGUCAGAACACCACUGUAUUGUGGAGUGCAAUAAAAGGCUGACAUGUUAAGAGUCUUUUUAAAAAAUCCACACUCACUGGGCUUCUCCAGAUUUUACACAUCCAUAUUGUGCAAACAUGAGCUACAGCUGAGUAUUACAGACAUGCAGGGCAGGCACAAGAAUCCCUGAGGGCACCUCUGAUCUGAAUGUUAAAUUAGCUUUAUUGAAGUAUGUCUUUUAAAUGAACUGAGCCUGAUGUCUUUCUUGUACUGGAAUAUGCCAUCUUAAUGAUGCUUCCUUGAGAGCUGCUGAUGAGAGAAAGGAAUGAGGGAACAGUCAUUACCAUUAGGAGCAAGAAAGUGCUGAAUGGUGACUUACCCCCUCUCUUCCAGCCACAAGUUUUUAUAGAGUCUAUUAAUACCUUGCAGGGCACUGCAGCUUUCUGUGGUACAUGCAAGGUCGCUGAGCUAAUGCACACCCAUAAAUCCCAAAUAGCUGCUGCUCUGCCCUGGUCAUCUGUGAGAAAGUCCUAAGAGAUGUGCUGGCACAACCCAGAGCAAGGAAGAUAUGUGUGUCUGGGCACAGACUAGAACUAAUGUGGAUCAGAAUACUUUUACUUCCCAAAACAUGCAUAUUCCUCAUAAGGAUGGCUGCUAGAACGUUGUGUAGCCCUGGCAGCUACCCCUUGUGAGAUACCACCAAGGAAAGACUUCAUCAAGGUUGCCAGUUCCAUGGGUGCAAGGGCAGGGAGGAUGCAGGAGCGCCCUUGGGCUGGCCACAGGAAGGGUGGGAAGCAGCUUGGAAAGCCCAGACAGCAAUUCCUGGGACAUGUGGGCAGUGACUAACUGUGACAGAGCUCUCACAUGGUGAGAGAGCCAUGGGCAUUUCAAAAAAGGGAGGCAUUUCAAAGAGCAUUACAUAUUCUCAUGUAUGAAAG